This is a long non-coding RNA of Bubalus bubalis (water buffalo), 1465 nucleotides long. RefSeq lists it as uncharacterized. The record is from RefSeq and is a predicted model, not a curated record. The transcript is spliced from 2 exons. NCBI's taxonomy places the organism in Eukaryota, Metazoa, Chordata, Mammalia, Artiodactyla, Bovidae.
CGCCCGCAAGCCCCAUCCGAGCCAUCGGGGGCCGGGGGUCCAGCGAGAGGAGCCGCGAGGAGAGCGCUCCUCGCGCUCCAGAAAGCAGCCCGGAAGACGAAGGCGAUCCCUGCCGGCCGGCGGGCGCUCCGAGGAUCCAGAGAUCCCUGCAGAGCUUCUCUAUUGCCACGGCCGCCAUUGCUCUGGAAGACGACAGAUCAGCUGAAAGCAGCUGCCCCCGGUUCGAUGAUCUACUGUGUCAAAGCGGUACCUCGAUGGCUAACAGGCUGCUAGCCUCUCCGGCCAUGGUUUCCCAAAGAUCUCCGUGGCUCUGGGGCUGGAGCUCUGAGUGAUGACUGAAAGGCCCCAGUUCCCUCUUGAACCACCCAGUUCUCUAGAAAGAUGGAACUCCUGAAGGCAAAUCCAAGCGCUCCUCUGAAUCAGCACAUCCAAAAUCCUAAGGAAUUCUGGAUGUGACAGCAGGAUCAUUCCUGAUUUGGGGUGGGAAUACAUCAAACUCAAUUGCGGUGCUGAGAAGAGAGCUUUGGUGAGUAUCUGCAUGGACCAAGAAACGGGAAGAGGAUGCGUGAAAUCCAGCCUGGAGUGGUCCUGAUGCAGAAAGACGUGAAAGGGAAAAAGACUUACAGAAAGGAAGAAGGCACUCAACCUCCCACCCACAGUCUUUUCCCAUUCGACAGUGCCUUUAGAUCUGAAAAAAGAAAGUCUCAGUUGCUCAGUCAUGUCCAUCUUUUUGCGACCCCAUGGACUGUAGCCUGCCAGGCUCCUCUGUUCAUAGUAUUCUCUAGGUCCCUUUAGAUCUGGGGUCAGGAUAAUUAUCAGGAGGGACUACUCAUUGAGAGGAACCUGUUUUUUGUUUUUUUUUUUUUGAGAGCCAUAUGGAAGCCAAGAAAUGAAACAGAGUGGGGAGCAGAGUUCCUGGGUCAGCCUAAGCCCUGCAGAGAAAGUGCAUGGUGGACGCUCGCCCUGGGAGUGGAUGUGAGUCUGAGUGUUCUUCUCAAGGGUGCUGAUCUUUUCAGGAUCAGAUGAACACUGUGUCCCUCUGCCCUGCAAACAGCACACGUGCACAGAGACGGUGUUUACAUGGCAACCUGCAGAAGCCCAGCUGGGGCCCUGAGCUAGCAAGCCCUGCUGAGAAAGGGGUUUUUCAGGAAGGAGGCAGCCCUGAGCCCAGACUCCCUGUGAUCUAGGCUAAUGGGUGUUAGUGACGUGGAAGAUUCAGAAGGAAGCAAAUCUAAACACGAGUUCUGUAAUGUGAAGUGAAGAAAGGAACAAAUAUGAUGCUUGCACUUUUCAGUUCUGUAAAAAAUCCACACCUAGAGAGAGAAGAGUGCAAAGGCAAUAUGGAGAAAUGAAAACUUUUUGAGUGAAGUUUUUUUUAUUCUAAAAAUUUGCUUUAAUAUCAUUAUGAAGUUAUUUUAAUAAUAGAUUUAAUUUUUUCUAUGUUACAUAAAGUGCUUUUCCUCCA